AUUGAACGCUGGCGGCAUGCCUUACACAUGCAAGUCGAACGGUAACAGGGAGCUUGCUCCGCUGACGAGUGGCGAACGGGUGAGUAACGUAUCGGAACGUACCUUUCAGUGGGGGAUAACUGUCCGAAAGGACAGCUAAUACCGCAUAUUCUGUGAGCAGGAAAGCAGGGGAUCGCAAGACCUUGCGCUGAUUGAGCGGCCGAUAUCAGAUUAGCUAGUUGGUGAGGUAAAGGGCUCACCAAGGCGACGAUCUGUAGCGGGUCUGAGAGGAUGAUCCGCCACACUGGAACUGAGACACGGUCCAGACUCCUACGGGAGGCAGCAGUGGGGGAAUUUUUGGA
RNAcentral lists this ribosomal RNA (341 nucleotides) under uncultured bacterium. RNAcentral's name for it is "bacterial SSU rRNA". It matches the Rfam family "Bacterial small subunit ribosomal RNA", at positions 30 to 370 of the family's 1533-position model. The record is from RNAcentral.